GACGAACGCUGGCGGCACGCUUAACACAUGCAAGUCGAACGGAGUUAUUCGGAGCUUGCUCUGAAUAACUUAGUGGCGGACGGGUGAGUAACACGUGAGCAACCUGCCUUUGAGAGUGGGAUAGCUUCUGGAAACGGAUGGUAAUACCGCAUAACAUUACGGAACCGCAUGAUUCUGUAAUCAAAGAUUUAUCGCUCAAAGAUGGGCUCGCGGCUGAUUAGAUAGUUGGUGGGGUAACGGCCUACCAAGUCGACGAUCAGUAGCCGGACUGAGAGGUUGAACGGCCACAUUGGGACUGAGACACGGCCCAGACUCC
Molecule: ribosomal RNA, 316 nt
Filed under: uncultured Clostridium sp.
Lineage: Bacteria; Bacillati; Bacillota; Clostridia; Eubacteriales; Clostridiaceae
Description: bacterial SSU rRNA
Rfam family: Bacterial small subunit ribosomal RNA
Source: RNAcentral